GACGAACGCUGGCGGCGUGCUUAACACAUGCAAGUCGAACGAAGAGCGAUGGAAGCUUGCUUCUAUCAAUCUUAGUGGCGAACGGGUGAGUAACGCGUAAUCAACCUGCCCUUCAGAGGGGGACAACAGUUGGAAACGACUGCUAAUACCGCAUACGAUCUAAUCUCGGCAUCGAGGAUAGAUGAAAGGUGGCCUCUACAUGUAAGCUAUCACUGAAGGAGGGGAUUGCGUCUGAUUAGCUAGUUGGAGGGGUAACGGCCCACCAAGGCGAUGAUCAGUAGCCGGUCUGAGAGGAUGAACGGCCACAUUGGGACUGAGACACGGCCCAGACUCCUACGGGAGGCAGCAGUGGGGAAUCUUCCGCAAUGGACGAAAGUCUGACGGAGCAACGCCGCGUGGGUGAUGACGGCCUUCGGGUUGUAAAGCUCUGUUAAUCGGGACGAAAGGCCUUCUUGCGAACAGUUAGAAGGAUUGACGGUACCGGAAUAGAAAGCCACGGCUAACUACGUG
This 510-nucleotide ribosomal RNA is filed under the name uncultured bacterium. RNAcentral describes it as "partial 16S ribosomal RNA". It matches the Rfam family "Bacterial small subunit ribosomal RNA", at positions 28 to 507 of the family's 1533-position model. The record is from RNAcentral.